UUUGACCAUCUUGUGCAUUUAUGAAGAAGACCAAAAGCUGCAAAGGCAAACACUUCCAAUGGCAGAAACUGAGAGUUUGCAUGAUGGCAUUUUCUCAGACGCUGAAUCUGAUGUGUACAGAUGAACUCAGGAGCCUACUAGAGUUGCCAAGGAACUUGUGCUUGAACUGAAGACCAGAAACGCAAAGAAAAUCAGUCAAACCAGUCCUAAAGAAAUGAGGAAUGAACAUGGACUUCUUGUGCCCCAAAAGAAAAGACAGAAAGGUGAAAAGUUUCACAUUUCAAUUUGUAUGUCUGAAUUCAAUGCAGUUAUGUGUGGUACAACAUUGAUGUUGAUCUCUCAAAAGACUUUUCAAGUCCGCAGUUAUAGUUUUUGACAUAUACAUCUUUUUUAUAGCUCCUAAAAUGAGCAAAUAAGCUGUGCAUCAUCUCUGUGAUUUGGGAAGGAAAUGACUGAAUAUGAUGAAGCCAAUUGAUGAAGAUAUCAAUUGAAUGGCCACCGAGUGCAUCACUGCUACCUGAACCCAUCAGUUAUCUUCUGUGAAGACUGCAUUCACAAACCGCUCUACUGCGACAGCUCAGAUGUUACGGCCUGCAAAGUAAACAUCACAGCUAAACAACGAGAGCUAGUUGUGGUGGGAUUCUUUUGGCCAAUAUCCCCAACAAGAAUCAAUGACAUCUAGACCAGGUGGAGUGUGAGGAGGACCGUGAGAGACUCCAGCCAGCCGAGCCAUGGAUUGCUUUCACUGUUACCAUCAGGCAGACGUUAUCACAGAACCUACACCAGCAGACAGUGAGACAAGUUCCUUUCACAGGCAAUCAGACUGAACUGAACUCAUACCAGUAAAACCAUACACACCCCACCAACCUCAUAUGCCCUGCACUCUUAUCAGUUAUGCUGACUGGACUCAAUAUUAUUAUGCACCCUGACAUUCUGUUUGCACUAAUUCAUACCGUGCUUUACUGCAGAGAUGUAUGUGUACUGUGAUUAUUAUUGUUUUCAAUUCAUGCUCUUUGUAUAGCAUAAUUUUUAACAUAUAUUGUUCUCUACCUGAAUUGAGUCCCUUAUAUAUGUGUGUUGCAUAUAUAUAUUCAGAAUUUGUAUUUCAUAUAUAUUCAUGAAUUAAUUAAUUUGUCAUCCAUACUGUCACGCUGCAGUCUGCACCCAAGACUUUCAUCACCUGUAUACUUGUGUUCAUUGUAUUGUGACAAUAAAGAUAUUUGAUUUAAAUUA
Long non-coding RNA from Carassius auratus (goldfish), 1233 nucleotides. RefSeq lists it as uncharacterized. Lineage: Eukaryota; Metazoa; Chordata; Actinopteri; Cypriniformes; Cyprinidae. The transcript has 5 exons. The record is from RefSeq and is a predicted model, not a curated record.